Molecule: ribosomal RNA, 465 nt
Filed under: uncultured Gammaproteobacteria bacterium
Lineage: Bacteria; Pseudomonadati; Pseudomonadota; Gammaproteobacteria
Description: bacterial SSU rRNA
Rfam family: Bacterial small subunit ribosomal RNA
Source: RNAcentral
UGAACGCUGGCGGCAGGCCUAAUACAUGCAAGUCGAACGAGAAAGCAUCUUCGGAUGUAAGUACAGUGGCGGACGGGUGAGUAAUACAUAGGAAUCUACCCAAUGGUGGGGGAUAGCUCGGGGAAACUCGAAUUAAUACCGCAUAAUCUCUACGGAGUAAAGGGGGCUUCGGCUCUCGCCAUCGGAUGAGCCUAUGCAGGAUUAGCUUGUUGGUGAGGUAAUGGCUUACCAAGGCAACGAUCCUUAGCUGGUUUGAGAGGAUGACCAGCCACAUCGGGACUGAGACACGGCCCGGACUUCUACGGAAGGCAGCAGUAGGGAAUAUUGGACAAUGAGCGAAAGCUUGAUCCAGCCAUGCCGCGUGUGUGAUGACGGCCUUCGGGUUGUAAAGCACUUUAGGUAAUGAGGAAAAAUUAGAUGUUAAUACCACCUAAUCAUGACGUUAAUUACAGAAUAAGCACCGGC